This 1165-nucleotide ribosomal RNA is filed under the name Salmonella enterica subsp. enterica serovar Infantis. RNAcentral's name for it is "partial 23S ribosomal RNA". It matches the Rfam family "Bacterial large subunit ribosomal RNA", at positions 149 to 1269 of the family's 2925-position model. Lineage: Bacteria; Pseudomonadati; Pseudomonadota; Gammaproteobacteria; Enterobacterales; Enterobacteriaceae. The record is from RNAcentral.
UAUCAUUAACUGAAUCCAUAGGUUAAUGAGGCGAACCGGGGGAACUGAAACAUCUAAGUACCCCGAGGAAAAGAAAUCAACCGAGAUUCCCCCAGUAGCGGCGAGCGAACGGGGAGGAGCCCAGAGCCUGAAUCAGCAUGUGUGUUAGUGGAAGCGUCUGGAAAGGCGCGCGAUACAGGGUGACAGCCCCGUACACAAAAGCGCAUGUGCUGUGAGCUCGAUGAGUAGGGCGGGACACGUGGUAUCCUGUCUGAAUAUGGGGGGACCAUCCUCCAAGGCUAAAUACUCCUGACUGACCGAUAGUGAACCAGUACCGUGAGGGAAAGGCGAAAAGAACCCCGGCGAGGGGAGUGAAAAAGAACCUGAAACCGUGUACGUACAAGCAGUGGGAGCACAGGUUUACCUGUGUGACUGCGUACCUUUUGUAUAAUGGGUCAGCGACUUAUAUUCUGUAGCAAGGUUAACCGAAUAGGGGAGCCGGAGGGAAACCGAGUCUUAAUUGGGCGUUAAGUUGCAGGGUAUAGACCCGAAACCCGGUGAUCUAGCCAUGGGCAGGUUGAAGGUUGGGUAACACUAACUGGAGGACCGAACCGACUAAUGUUGAAAAAUUAGCGGAUGACCUGUGGCUGGGGGUGAAAGGCCAAUCAAACCGGGAGAUAGCUGGUUCUCCCCGAAAGCUAUUUAGGUAGCGCCUCGUGAAUUCAUCUCCGGGGGUAGAGCACUGUUUCGGCUAGGGGGCCAUCCCGGCUUACCAACCCGAUGCAAACUGCGAAUACCGGAGAAUGUUAUCACGGGAGACACACGGCGGGUGCUAACGUCCGUCGUGAAGAGGGAAACAACCCAGACCGCCAGCUAAGGUCCCAAAGUCAUGGUUAAGUGGGAAACGAUGUGGGAAGGCCCAGACAGCCAGGAUGUUGGCUUAGAAGCAGCCAUCAUUUAAAGAAAGCGUAAUAGCUCACUGGUCGAGUCGGCCUGCGCGGAAGAUGUAACGGGGCUAAACCAUGCACCGAAGCUGCGGCAGCGAACGUAUCACUUAAAGCGAUUCAGCGGGUUACGAUUGACGGAGCGAAGCGACGUCAAAGCGUAUACAAAGUCGAGUCGGUUUAAGGAUACGUUCGUUGGGUAGGGGAGCGUUCUGUAAGCCUGUGAAGGUGUGUCGUGAGGC